GUUCUCCCUGACUCCUUGAGAGUCCUGAAGGAACGUUGAAGACGACGACGUUGAUAGGCCGGAUGUGUAAGCGCAGCGAUGCGUUGAGCUAACCGGUACUAAUGAACCGUGAGGCUUAACCUUACAACGCCGAAGCUGUU
Molecule: ribosomal RNA, 140 nt
Filed under: Escherichia coli
Lineage: Bacteria; Pseudomonadati; Pseudomonadota; Gammaproteobacteria; Enterobacterales; Enterobacteriaceae
Description: partial 23S ribosomal RNA
Rfam family: Bacterial large subunit ribosomal RNA (bases 1-123)
Source: RNAcentral